GACGAACGCUGGCGGCGUGCUUAACACAUGCAAGUCGAACGGUAAAGCUUUGCUUGAACGGUUCGCGGGUGGGGUAAAGUGGAUUAGCGCCGGACGGGUCUGUACCACGUUUGUAACUUGCCUUAGACAUUUGGGUCUCCUCCGGAAACCGGGAUUAAUACCAUAUGAAAUCAUAAUGGCACAUGUCGUCACGAUCAAAACUCCGGUGGUGUAAGAUGGUGUCGAGUCCCUUUAGUUCGUGGGUAGAGUAAAAUCAUACCAAGGCGAGGAUGGGGAGCCGGAAGGAGAGGGGGAACGGCGAGAUUGGAACUGAGAAACGGUCCAAACUCCUACGAGAGGCAGGAGAGGGGAAUAUAGCACAAUGGAGGGAACGCUGAUGCAGCGACGCGGGGUGAACGAAGAAGGCGUUCGAGUCGUAAAGUGCUUUUAUAUGGGAAGAUAAUGACGGUACCAUAAGAAAAAGCCCCGGCUAACUACGUG
RNAcentral lists this ribosomal RNA (480 nucleotides) under uncultured bacterium. RNAcentral describes it as "partial 16S ribosomal RNA". It matches the Rfam family "Bacterial small subunit ribosomal RNA", at positions 28 to 507 of the family's 1533-position model. The record is from RNAcentral.